RNAcentral lists this ribosomal RNA (611 nucleotides) under Fe-oxidizing bacterium FO1. RNAcentral's name for it is "bacterial SSU rRNA". It matches the Rfam family "Bacterial small subunit ribosomal RNA", at positions 649 to 1360 of the family's 1533-position model. The record is from RNAcentral. Lineage: Bacteria; Pseudomonadati; Pseudomonadota; Alphaproteobacteria.
CUAGGGGGGGGGGAAUUCCCAGUGAGAGGGAAAUUGUAGAUAUGGAGGAACCCAGAGGGAAGGCGGCCCUGACUAGAUUGACGUCAGGUGGAAAGGUGGGAGCAAACAGGAUUAGAUACCCUGGUAUCCACGCCGUAAACGAUGAGUGCUAGUGUGGGAUUUCGAUUUCGGUGACGCAGUAACGCAUUAAGCAUCCGCCUGGGGAGUACGGUCGCAAGAUUAAAACUCAAAGGAAUUGACGGGGCCGCACAACGGUGGACAUGUGGUUAUUAAGCAACCCAACUUACCUACCCUUGACAUCCCAUCGCGGUUUCCAAAAUGGAUUCCUUCAUUAGGCUGGAUCGGUGACAGGUGCUGCAUGCUGUCUCACUCUGUCUGAAUGUUGGGUUAAGUCCCCAACGAGCGCAACCCUCAUCCUUAUUGCCAUCACUUUGGGUGGGCACUCUAAGGAAACUGCCGGGGCAACCGAGGAAGGGGGAUGACUCAAUCCUCUGGCCCUUACGGGUAGGGUCCCUGCUACAUGGCAGGCAAUGGGUAUCCCAAAAACUGUCUCUUCAAUUGUCCUCUGCAACUCAGGGCUAAGGGGAAUCCUAAACGGAUCGGCAUCCCGU